This 497-nucleotide ribosomal RNA is filed under the name uncultured bacterium. Its description in RNAcentral is "partial 16S ribosomal RNA". It matches the Rfam family "Bacterial small subunit ribosomal RNA", at positions 28 to 507 of the family's 1533-position model. The record is from RNAcentral.
GAUGAACGCUGGCGGCGUGCCUAAUACAUGCAAGUCGAGCGGACGGACGAGGAGCUUGCUGCGCUGUUGUUAGCGGAGCGCGGGUGUGUAACACGUGGAUAACCUACUUAUAAUACUGAGAUAACUUCGGGAAACCGGAGCUAAUACCGGAGAAUAUUUUGAACCGCAGGGGGCGAAAGUGAAAGACGGUCUUGCUGUCACUUAUAGAGGGAUCCGCGCUGCAUUAGCUAGUUGGUAAGGUAACGGCUUACCAAGGCUACGAUGCGUAGCCGACCUAAGAGGGUGAUCGGCCACACUGGAACGGAGACACGGUCCAGACUACUACGGGAGGCAGCAGUCUGGAAUCUGCCGCAAUGGGCGAAAGCCUGGCGGAGCAACGCCGCGUGAGUGAUGACGGUCUUCGGAUCGUAAAACUCUGUUAUUAGGGAAGAACAUAUGUGUAAGUAACUGUGCAGAUCUUGACGGUACUUAGUCAGAAAGCCACGGCUAACUACGUG